RNAcentral lists this long non-coding RNA (4788 nucleotides) under Sus scrofa (pig). RNAcentral describes it as "lncRNA (ENSSSCG00065052598.1)". Lineage: Eukaryota; Metazoa; Chordata; Mammalia; Artiodactyla; Suidae. The record is from RNAcentral.
AUUUUGUAGCACAUUAAAGAUGAAACCAUCAUGAUCUUUCCUAAAUAAUUUUUCACUUUGGUGGUGUUGAAGUUCUGUUAAUCAUUUUCAAUGUUUAUUCUCAAUUUACCUUAGCAAAAAGCUCUAUACUAGUGCUGAAGGGAGUCAGUCCUAAUAAAGUAAUAAAGUAAGAAAUGGAAUGAUCAUCCAUAUUAGUUAGCAUAGGGGUUCACCUGCUGUCACCAACACCAAUGAUGGCAGUGAUCUUCAUAGUCCCAGUAUAAGGAAUCCUGUGCUGGUUUGGAGACUUGACUAUAUCAGGGACACACCUUCCCCUCUCUGCCAACCAUACAGUAUUCCUUGGUCAGCAUGAUCCCAGCUGGUUCACUAUUGCAUCCUCAUUCCAGCCAGUGGGAGGGGUUACAGGACUGAGCCUUUCUUCCUUUGAAGGACAUGCAUCAUUUCCACAUCCAUCCAAAAUAUCCCAUGGCCAGAAAUUGAUCACAUGACCACAUCAAGAUGCAAGAAACAAUGGAAGAAGUGGUCAUUUUUUUUUCUGGGGGUACUUGAUCCCAACUAAAAAUUGUGUAGCUUAGAUGAGGGGAAUGGAUAUUGAAGGACAAAUGGCAGUUUCUGACACAGUACCCCUAUGACAUUUUUAUUGCCACACAAUGCAGGAUCCAAGGUGUGUCUCUGAUCUACACCACAGCUCACAGCAAUGGCGGAUCAUUAACCCACAGAGUAAGGCCAGGGAUUGAAUCCACAACCUCGUGGUUCCUAGUUGGAUUUGUUAACCACCGAGCCGUGACGGGAACUCCUACUGUGACAUUUUUGAUUCGCCUAUUCCAGAUGGGCUGUGCUACAUCAUGCUGCCCCUUCUUGUGAACUGGAUUUCAAGAGCAACCAGUUCUUUUACAAAGACAUCAAUAUUUAUGAUCUCACUGGUUUCACUAAUUCAACUAUCAUUUAGUGAACACCUACCUUGUGACAAGUUAUGCUAUAAGUACUGAAGAUAAAAAAUUAAAUAACACUCUGUCUUUUCCUCACACUAGAUGGUAGGUGCUCUCCUCAGAGCCUGCUGCAUCCCUCAGGGCCCCAGAGAUGCUGAUUUCUGAGUCCUCACUUCCUUAGGAGGGUAAUGUUCCCCUUGCCUUCCUUGCCUUUCAGGAUUAGAAGAUUGAGUUAUGGAGAUCUGAGUUCUGGUCUCUCUGGCAUCAGGCCAUUGUGAAAGGUCCUUUCCUUUCAGGCAGAAAACCGACAAAGUCAGGCACUUUGCUCUGAGGCUUUCAUUUGCGUUUCUAAGUUGAUUGCCUAAAACUGAGACCGCUUUCCCUGUGGGGAGAGGGAUGGACUGGGCUUCUUAAAGUGUGUGUGUGUGUGUGUGUGUGUGUGUGUGUGUGUGGUGUGUGUGUGUGUGUGUGUGUGUGUGUGUGGUGUGAUCCCUGAGAAAAAAGGUGGAACUUCAUGCCAAACUGUUGGAAAGAGAAGAGAGGGCAGAGUGUGGGUGGGGUAAUAGGACCCUGUGUCCUUCUUUGAUGUUGUCCCCUUAGGGAGCCCUUAUUAGAGCCUUCUCUAGCCUUCUUCUCUCUAGUCCCUUGUAACUAGCUUCACCUCUGUCACUUUCUCCUUUCACUCCACUGGCCUCCAAGGUGUUUAGCCAGCCAAGCUUGCUCCCUCCUUAUGGCCUUUAUGUUCUGUGUCCCUUCUGUGUGGGCCACUCUCCCCUGAGUCAUGAGGUUAACCUCUGACUUCCUUCAGGUCUUUACUCACCUUCUCUGUGAGGCCUUCCAUGGCCACUCUUUCAAAACUGUCAGCCUUUCAUCCCGAUGCUCUAUACAUUUCCCUGCUCUACUAUGUCUCCUGAGCACUCACUAUUGUUUACUUAAUUUCUGCUAGAAACAGAGCGGAAUGGACAAUAAAAGACAGAUAAUCUCCAGGGGAACAUGGAUUUUUGUCUGUUUGUUUCUUUCUUUUUUUUCUUUUUACAGCUGCACCUGUGGCACAUGGAAGAUCCAGGGCUAGGGCCUGAAUCAAAGCUGCAGCUGAGCCCUAUGCCACAGCCAUGGCAACAUCUAAAACCUGUGCUGCAGCUUAUGGCAGUGCUGGAUCUUUAACACAGUGAGUGAGGCUAGGGUUCAAACCUGCAUCCUUACAGAGACUGUGCUGGGUCCUUAACUCCCUGAGCCACAAUAGGAACUCCUGUCUGUUUUUUUCAUACUCUGUCUUAUAGAAUAGUUCUUUGUACAUGGUACAUUCUUUAGUAAGUAUUUGUUAAGUGAAUGAAUAAUGACAAAAUUCCCUAAGUCUCAGCUAGACAAAUAGGAAGUAUAAUCUCCUUCAUUUAAAUUGAUCAUAUGAUUUGGACAAUUGGAAUUUCAGUAGAAAUUCUUGACUUUAGAAUUGAAGACUCCCCUAAGCUUGUUGGCUAGUAUAGGGAAUCUUAGUAACAAAGGGCAUAAAGUCACAUAGUUUAUGAUAGUUUUAAUCAUAGUUUAUGAUUUUUUGAAGAUGAAGGAGAUGUGGCAUUUCUUGCAUCACAAUGUUUUGAGCAAAGUGUAGCCAGUUCACCUUGAGUGUGCACAAAAGCCAGCCUUGCCGCCUCCUGCUAGCUUUUGUUGGUGCAAGUAUGCCUGGCAGUUUGACUUGAGAAUGGCAUUAAGGACUUGCCAUGGUGCUGACAUGAGAAGUGAGAAAUGGCAAGUGCAUGGAACUAGCACAGGGAGCAAAGGGUCAGUGUUUCAAUACCAGCCAUGGCUUAGUUGAUAAGAUACUGCAAAUGAGUACUUCAUGUGUGUGUGUGAGUCUCUGUGUGUCACAUAAGAAGCAUAUAUUGUGUUAUGUGCACAAUGGCCAGUGAAUUUGAUGCCUCUUUUAUGGAUGCUAUUGGAUGUGUCAGCACUUCUUCCAUUCCCUUCUGUCUUGAGGUGUGUGGAAAUUUCUCCUGUGCCAUCCUUUACUUUGAUAAAGGAAUUGAAAAUAAGGUCUCCUCUCUUUGCUUUUGACUUCUCCAUUCAUAUAAUUGGUUUUCCUCCUUUGCUCAGUGCUCCCUAUGGUCACAUCAUAUUACAAAUUAUUAUAUAAUAAAAGUUGUUGCCUUGUAUUUUCUUUCCUACCUGUUUCCUACAGAACUUGGGAGAAAUAAAAGGAAUUGACCCAGGUUAAGAUGACAAAAAUAAUUAUCCCUCGUUUAAAAGAAGAAAAGUUUACAUUAAUAGACUAAUUCAAAUUUAUUUAAUUUUGCACAGAAUUAAAAAAAGCAUCUCACUGAAAAGUAACAUGAAAAAGAAUAUUAAAAUUCUUGAUAAGUUAAGGGGUUAGAAACUACCAUUUAUUGACUAUGUAUAGGGUACCAUCUAGAAAUUCAGUAACUGAGCUGAGAAAUUGAUGUUAUCCCAUUUUACAGGGAAAGAAACCAAGCUUCAGGGAUGUUAAUAAAUGCUAAGGACAUAUUAGUAGGAAGUGGGAGAGGCUGGAUUUGUAUUUAGAUGUGUCUGAUUCCAACUAAACUUUACUAUGCUGGUUUCCAACUGUCUUUAAAUUCAGAGUGUUCUUAAAAUUUCAGUACUGUACAUUCUAAAUUGAAAGCACUGUAUUUCAUUUCUAAGUAAGAUCAUCUUUUCCCUUUGCCAGAAAUAAUAUCUUUGAUUGCUCUAGCGCUUGGUUUGUAUGAAUUGCUUUCCUUGUUUUCUCAAUGCCAUGCAGGGAUUUAAAGUUCCUUGCUGUUAAAAACAGAGAUGAGUUACCUCAUUUUUGAAAUUCCUACACUGAGUUUCAAAAGCAAAAACAUGUCAUUAGGAGCUUAGGCUCAGAAUCUGAAUUUCAUCUUCUCUGCUUACUUACUGCAUAAUAGUGGCCACAUUCCUUAAUUAGGCUGUACCUCAAUAUCUCUAUCUGUAAAACAGAGGUAAUAUCAUCAAUAUAAAGAUUAAAAUAGUUAAUGUGUUAAUACAAUUAAAGUGCUUUUAAACAGAGCCUGACACACAAACAUCACCAAUAAAAUUUUUAUUUCUACCCAGGCAUGGCAAUCAUAAAGAGACAAUCAUUUUCAUUUUCUGGAACAUAGGAUAUUAGUUUCCUAAGGAUCCUUUCCUUCCAUGUCUUCCUGUUAACUAUCUGCUAGGGUUAUACCAGCUGCGCAUGGUGCUUUUUCACUCAAGAGGAAGACAUCUGAAAAUAGGCCUGUCUGUCUCUUUUAUUUUUAAAUUCAUACAUUUGUAAUGAAAAAAGCAAACUGAUCAUCAUUGGAGGAUCUUAGUGGACCAACUCAGUAUUUUGAAAAUUGGUCAGUACAGCAACAUACUAAAGGCCUAUCCUUCAUUUCCUGUGUGGACUGUCCUACUAGAUAAUCAAUAGUAGAAAAGGAAUUAUUUCUUUUCACAGAAGAGUGCAUGGAUCUAGGCAUUGGACAUCAAUACCCCUAAGAUCAAAGAGAGACAUAGAUAGAUAGACAGAUAGAUAGAUAUAUAGAUAGAUAGAUUAUGUGAUUCCAUUUAAUUGAACAUACCAUCAAUAAAGUAGUCUUAUUAAACACUAUAAUUUAUGGAGUUCCCAUUGUGGCUCAGCAAUAACGAACCUGAUUAGUAUCCGUGAGGACAUGGGUUCAGUCCCUAGCCUUGCUCAGUGGGUUAAGGAUCUGAUGCUGCUGUGAGCUGUGGUGUAGGUUGCAGACAUGGUUUAGUGUUGCUUAGGCUGUGGUGUAGGCAGGCAGCUUCAGCUCUGAAUUGACCACUAACGUGGGAACUUCCAUUUGACGUGGGUGCAACCCUGAAAAAAGAAAAGAAAAGGAAAAAAGAAAAAAAAGAAAAAAAA